This 2079-nucleotide ribosomal RNA is filed under the name Triticum aestivum (bread wheat). Its description in RNAcentral is "partial small subunit ribosomal RNA". The record is from RNAcentral. Lineage: Eukaryota; Viridiplantae; Streptophyta; Magnoliopsida; Poales; Poaceae.
AUGGAGAGCGCGUGGAGGAAGGCCAAGAGGGCGCUGGCCCUCCGUCUCUGCGUGCUCGUCCCCGCCGAGGGCGAUGGGAGGCCGGCGGCCUCGGGCGCCGGCGGGUGUCGGGGCGAGGCGGCCGUGACGGUGGGGUCCGCGCCCGAGGAGCCGGCGGCCGGCGGCGGCGCGUUGCGGAGGUCCAAGUCCGGGAGCAGGUCCUCCUCCAAGAGGAAAUGUGCAAUAUGCUUUGACUCUAUGAGAUCAGGCCAUGGUCAAGCCUUGUUCACUGCAGAAUGCUCUCAUAAGUUCCAUUUUCACUGCAUUUCAUCCAAUGUGAAACAUGGGAAUCAUGUCUGCCCAGUCUGCCGGGCAAAGUGGAAAGAGAUACCCUUGAAUCGCUCACUCUCUUCCAACAUUCCUGAUGGAAGACGUGGAAUUAAUGGAGUCCAAUUGCCACAACAAGAUGCCUAUGUGGCUCUUCUCCACCAAGUUCCAAACCGUCAGCGAGGAGUUCGUCGCUUACAUACUUUUGAGCCAACAGACUUCAAUGACGAUGAAUCUUUACAGCAGACAGAAGCUACUGACAGUCUUAAUUCUCGGUCUAAGAAGACUGCAGAAAUCAGUACAUAUCCAGAAUUCUCAUCCAUUCCACAGUCAUCAUCUCAAGAUGGAUUUUCUGUUCUGAUCCAUCUGAAAGCUCCCAGUGCUAGCUCAGACCAGGCCACAGGCAGAUUGGUCAAUGAAAGCUCAGUUAGAUCCCCAAGCGGACGUGCUCCUGUUGAUCUUGUCACAGUGAUUGAUAUUAGUGGCAGUAUGGCAGGCACCAAGCUGGCACUGCUAAAGCGGGCAAUGGGCUUUGUGAUUCAACACCUUGGUCCAUCUGAUCGCCUUUCUGUAAUUGCUUUCUCAUCUUCUGCCCGAAGGCUGUUCCACCUUCAGCGCAUGUCGCAUUAUGGCAGGCAGCAGGCCUUGCAGGCUAUUAACUCGCUUGGUGCUGGUGGUGGCACAAACAUUGCUGAAGCACUUAAGAAAGCUACGAAGGUGAUUGAGGAUCGCAGCUAUAAGAAUUCAGUGUGCAGCAUCAUUCUUCUGUCUGACGGGCAAGAUACCUACAACCUUAGCUCAAAUGCUCGAGGGGGCUCGAAAGAUUAUAGCACACUUGUCCCGCAGUCUAUUCUGGAUGAUACACGGCGUAUGCUGCCUAUUCAUGCUUUUGGAUUUGGAGCAGACCAUGAUUCAGACUCCCUGCAUUCAGUUGCUGAAGCUUCUGGUGGCACAUUUUCCUUUAUCGAAGAUGAAGGCGUGAUGCAGGAUGCGUUUGCUCAAUGCAUUGGUGGGCUUCUUAGCGUCGUCGUACAGGAGAUGCGACUCAACAUGGAAUGUGUUCAUCCUGGUGUUCAACUCUGUUCCAUCAAAUCUGGUAGCUACCCAAGCAUGAUGGCAAGGGAUGGGCGGAGCUGUUCAGUUGAUAUUGGUCAUCUGUAUGCUGAUGAGGAGAGAGACAUUUUGCUGUCAGUGAACAUCCCACAGUCUCGCGAACAGACCUCACUGUUAAAGGUUGCUUGUUCUUACAGGGAUCUAACAAAUGAGACCAUCAAGCUUAAAGUCGAUGAGGUGAAGAUCAACAGGCCGAUGUCAGCCAUAUCUGAAAAUGUAUCCAUUGAGGUUGAUCGUGAGCGGAACCGCAUACAGGCCGCUGAUUCUAUUGAAUCUGCGAGGGCUGCUGCUGAGAGGGGUGCUCUCGCUGAGGCUGUGACCAUUCUGGAGGACUGCCGGAGGAGAUUAUCAGAGUCCUUUGCUAGCAGGAGCGGGGACCGUCUAUCCUUGGCCCUUGAUGCAGAACUGAGGGAGAUGCAGGAGAGGAUGGCAAGUCGCCAGCUCUAUGAAGCUUCAGGGAGGGCCUACAUGCUAUCUGGACUGAGUUCGCAUUCCUGGCAGCGAGCGACGACGCGCGGGGACUCGACAGAGAGCAGCACCAUUGUUCACUCCUACCAGACGCCAUCCAUGGUUCAGAUGUUACAGCAUUCGCAGAGCCAUAUCCCUUCGCCUCCGGGCCAGCAGCCACAAGCCCGACCACCCAGGCCGUCGGCAAGGUAG